GAUGAACGCUACGGGCAGGCUUAAUACAUGCAAGUCGUACGGGAUCCGAGGUAGCAAUACUUUGGUGAGAGUGGCGCACGGGUGCGUAACACGUAUGCAACCUACCUAUAACCGGGACACAACCUCGAGAAAUUGAGGCUAAUAUCCCAUAACACUGCGAGAUGGCAUCAUUUUGCAGUUAAAACUCCGGUGGUUAUAGAUGGGCAUGCGCGACAUUAGCUAGUUGGUGAGGUAACGGCCCACCAAGGCUACGAUGUCUAGGGGUUCUGAGAGGAUUAUCCCCCACACUGGUACUGAGACACGGACCAGACUCCUACGGGAGGCAGCAGUAAGGAAUAUUGGUCAAUGGGCGCAAGCCUGAACCAGCCAUGCCGCGUGAAGGAUGACGGCCCUAUGGGUUGUAAACUUCUUUUGUACGGGAAAAAACCUCUGGUCGAGAAUCAGAGCUGAUGGUACCGUAAGAAUAAGCAUCGGCUAACUCCGUG
This 485-nucleotide ribosomal RNA is filed under the name uncultured bacterium. RNAcentral's name for it is "bacterial SSU rRNA". It matches the Rfam family "Bacterial small subunit ribosomal RNA", at positions 28 to 507 of the family's 1533-position model. The record is from RNAcentral.